AACGAACGCUGACGGCAGGCUUAACACAUGCAAGUCGAACGCCCCGCAAGGGGAGUGGCAGACGGGUGAGUAACGCGUGGGAAUCUACCCAUCCCUACGGAAUAACGCAUGGAAACGUGUGCUAAUACCGUAUACGCCCUACGGGGGAAAGAUUUAUCGGGGAUGGAUGAGCCCGCGUUGGAUUAGCUAGUUGGUGGGGUAAAGGCCUACCAAGGCGACGAUCCAUAGCUGGUCUGAGAGGAUGAUCAGCCACAUUGGGACUGAGACACGGCCCAAACUCCUACGGGAGGCAGCAGUGGGGAAUAUUGGACAAUGGGCGCAAGCCUGAUCCAGCCAUGCCGCGUGAGUGAUGAAGGCCUUAGGGUUGUAAAGCUCUUUCACCGGAGAAGAUAAUGACGGUAGCCGGAGAAGAAGCCCCGGCUAACUUCGUG
RNAcentral lists this ribosomal RNA (431 nucleotides) under uncultured bacterium. RNAcentral describes it as "partial 16S ribosomal RNA". It matches the Rfam family "Bacterial small subunit ribosomal RNA", at positions 29 to 507 of the family's 1533-position model. The record is from RNAcentral.